AACGAACGCUGGCGGCAUGCCUAACACAUGCAAGUCGAACGAGACCUUCGGGUCUAGUGGCGCACGGGUGCGUAACGCGUGCGAACCUGCCCUUAGGUUCGGAAUAACUCCCCGAAAGGGGUGCUAAUACCGGAUAAUGUCUUCGGACCAAAGAUUUAUCGCCUUUGGAUGGGCCCGCGUUGGAUUAGCUAGUUGGUAGGGUAAAAGCCUACCAAGGCGACGAUCCAUAGCUGGUCUGAGAGGAUGAUCAGCCACACUGGGACUGAGACACGGCCCAGACUCCUACGGGAGGCAGCAGUGGGGAAUAUUGGACAAUGGGCGAAAGCCUGAUCCAGCAAUGCCGCGUGAGUGAUGAAGGCCUUAGGGUUGUAAAGCUCUUUUACCCGGGAUGAUAAUGACAGUACCGGGAGAAUAAGCUCCGACUAACUCCGUG
RNAcentral lists this ribosomal RNA (433 nucleotides) under uncultured bacterium. RNAcentral describes it as "partial 16S ribosomal RNA". It matches the Rfam family "Bacterial small subunit ribosomal RNA", at positions 29 to 507 of the family's 1533-position model. The record is from RNAcentral.